CUUGACUCCUCCCUGGUCCUCCAAAGUGGAACCUCUGCGCAGCCCAAGUCCCUAAAACGCGGCAUCCGGGUGCGUGAACCCCAUUAUAAACAGUAAGCUAGAUGAUGAUCGGCCUGGCCCACUCAACUUUAGCCACUCUCACAUGGACUGGCUGCCCACAAACACCCCGGAAAUACAAGGGAUCCCAGGAGAGAUCAUUUUGGGAAUCAGAAGCGAAGACUUAAGAAGGGAAAUGCACAAGUGGAGAAGCGGCCGGUGGAUGGUCAGACAUUAUUAAAAUGAUUCAAAGAAGAGAGAAAACGGUGCUACGCACACUUUAAAAAACUGAGAAACAACCCAGAAACAACUCAACCACUCCUCACCGGACAAACUGCAUUUCCCAACCUAAAGAUACUGUUGCAGAGCCUUUCCUUUGUAUAGAGGACAUAUUGCAGGUUGUGAGUAUGCUAAACAUUUUAAUUUGUAAAUGCUAAUGGAAAAUGGGCUUUCAAGCCGCAGCAGUAGUCAAAUAGAAGCAAAUGAGGAAA
Molecule: long non-coding RNA, 527 nt
Organism: Jaculus jaculus (lesser Egyptian jerboa)
Lineage: Eukaryota; Metazoa; Chordata; Mammalia; Rodentia; Dipodidae
Exons: 2
Source: RefSeq, a predicted model, not a curated record